AGAAGAGAGAGCUUUGUUCUUUGCUGGCACAUAGGGACCCAGGAUCCUUUCGUUGUGUGGCUCAGGGGUUUCAUAAUCUUUGAUUAAAUGCAGGACAUCCUGUGCAGGACAAUAAUAUGAAGGAUUCCACAGCCAUCCAAAGCACUGCUUUGGCAGGAAUGCAUGAGGCCUUUUAUACAGCUGCCCAGCAUUGAUAACUGGCUGGUUGCUUGUCCACAUUGACUCACAUUGGAUCGAAAGGCCCUCAUUACCCUCACUGGUUUAAUGAUAUUCUCUGAUUAAACUUGGCCAG
This is a long non-coding RNA of Zalophus californianus (California sea lion), 292 nucleotides long. RefSeq lists it as uncharacterized. The record is from RefSeq and is a predicted model, not a curated record. NCBI's taxonomy places the organism in Eukaryota, Metazoa, Chordata, Mammalia, Carnivora, Otariidae. The transcript is spliced from 3 exons.